UCCCUGGUGGUCUAGUGGUUAAGACUCUGUGUUCCCAGUGCAGGGGACCUGGGUUUGAUCCCUGGUCAGGCAA
Molecule: transfer RNA, 73 nt
Filed under: Bos taurus (domestic cattle)
Lineage: Eukaryota; Metazoa; Chordata; Mammalia; Artiodactyla; Bovidae
Also listed under: 5 other names
Rfam family: tRNA
About the family: Transfer RNA (tRNA) molecules are approximately 80 nucleotides in length. Their secondary structure includes four short double-helical elements and three loops (D, anti-codon, and T loops).
Source: Rfam by way of RNAcentral